Molecule: long non-coding RNA, 510 nt
Organism: Choloepus didactylus (southern two-toed sloth)
Lineage: Eukaryota; Metazoa; Chordata; Mammalia; Pilosa; Megalonychidae
Exons: 4
Source: RefSeq, a predicted model, not a curated record
GGUCAAGGCUCGAACAGCCAUCGGGCAUCUGGCGGCCCCCGCCCUCCGGCUGGAAUGGAUGGACCCCCGCAGGCGCCACGGCCCCGAGUUCAGCAGAUUCAGUUUCUCCAAGACACCUGCCACCUUUUCUAUUAGAGGAUUUUGGAGAGGACUUAACAGAGUACUUUUUAUUGAACUGCAAUUCAAACAAGAAGAACACAGGGACAUCCAGAUCAGGUACUAUGAACCCUGAUUUUUAGCAGGGUACAUCAGCUGCCUGGAAGAAAAAAUGAAUUCUCUUGUACUUAAAGCGCAGCUAUAUUGACUAAGCUCUAUCCAGCGAACAAUCCAAGAACAAUAAGUAGAAAUGCUGAGUGGGAUUUCUGGAAUAUUGAAGGCUGGAGCACCUGUGCUGAGGACUGUGGAGCAGAAGGAUGAUAUAGUGAAACCAACAUGCCAGCUCUGGAUUUCCUACCUCCAAACUUCUUUUCCAUAUUAAAGAAAUAUACUUCUUGUUUAAGCCCCAGUUAU